Molecule: non-coding RNA, 54 nt
Organism: Salmo salar (Atlantic salmon)
Lineage: Eukaryota; Metazoa; Chordata; Actinopteri; Salmoniformes; Salmonidae
Source: Rfam
UGCGCUCAAUACCGUAAGUCGCUCUGGAUAAGAGUGUCUGCUGAAGGACUAAAA